This 484-nucleotide ribosomal RNA is filed under the name uncultured bacterium. RNAcentral's name for it is "partial 16S ribosomal RNA". It matches the Rfam family "Bacterial small subunit ribosomal RNA", at positions 30 to 507 of the family's 1533-position model. The record is from RNAcentral.
AUUGAACGCUGGCGGCAGGCCUAACACAUGCGAGUCGAGCGGAUGAAGGGAGCUUGCUCCUGGAUUCAGCGGCGGACGGGUGAGUAAUGCCUAGGAAUCUGCCUGGUAGUGGGGGAUAACGUCCGGAAACGGGCGCUAAUACCGCAUACGUCCUGAGGGAGAAAGUGGGGGAUCUUCGGACCUCACGCUAUCAGAUGAGCCUAGGUCGGAUUAGCUAGUUGGUGGGGUAAAGGCCUACCAAGGCGACGAUCCGUAACUGGUCUGAGAGGAUGAUCAGUCACACUGGAACUGAGACACGGUACAGACUCCUACGGGAGGCAGCAGUGGGGAAUAUUGGAAAAUGGGCGAAAGCCUGAUCCAGCCAUGCCGCGUGUGUGAAGAAGGUCUUCGGAUUGUAAAGCACUUUAAGUUGGGAGGAAGGGCAGUAAGUUAAUACCUUGCUGUUUUGACGUUACCAACAGAAUAAGCACCGGCUAACUUCGUG